Molecule: long non-coding RNA, 3009 nt
Filed under: Equus caballus (horse)
Lineage: Eukaryota; Metazoa; Chordata; Mammalia; Perissodactyla; Equidae
Description: lncRNA (ENSECAG00000046800.1)
Source: RNAcentral
GUCAGUUAGGCCCUGAUAGCACUCCGGCAGGUUAGGCUCUGGUUAACUAGCUUCCCCUGGGUGCAGGCCUUGUUAAGUGGAACAGCGCAUUCUGGCCUAUUUAAAAGUGGUUCCUUUCCCCCUCCCCCUGCCAGGGCAAAGUGAAUUUUCACGCCGUUUACUACAGGAACGUGGUCGAGCUCCUGGAGGUAUAGGUAACCUCAGUACACAGACAGAUUAUGUGACCUCUCAGUCUGUGGCAAUCCUGGAGAACCUUCUGCAGAUUACACAGACAAUUAAAUGACCAAAUGGAGCAACAGUGUACGGCACAUGGUCUCCAAAAUGGUAGCUGAAGCUGAUCUAGGGGAUAACACCCUCUUUCUACAACUCCUUCUUCCAAGAUGAGUCAACAGUCGCCCAGGAAAGCAAUGUCCAACCUCAUUUUCAUGAAUAACAGGGGGAAGUCAGAAAUUCAAAGCCUGAGAAGGAUUCGCUACAUCACUGCUGGCUAGAAGUUGGAGGGGGCGCCUUCUGGAGCUGAGUGUGUCCCCCACUCCUCAGCUGACAAACAGUAAAGAAACUAGGGACCCUGUAAUACUGUCCCAAAGAACUGAAUUCUGCUAUCAACACAAAUGAGCUUGAAGUGGUAUUUCCCCAGAGCCUCUCGCAAACACUUGGAUAGCUGACUUGUAAUAUCCUUAAGCAGUGAAUCCAGUAAUGCCAUGCCACACUUUUGAUCUACAGAACUGUGAGCUAAUAAAUGGAUGCUGUUUUAAGCUGCUAAAUUUGUGGUAUUUGUAACACAGCAAUAAAAAACUAAAAUAGUAUCUUAUUUUUUAAUGCUAUAAUAUAGUAUUUGUAUUUUUUCAUUUUGAUACAUAUAUUUCAGCUAUGUUACUCUUAAUGGUUUCAUACUAUCUUUUGUAAGUUUCAAUGAGGUUUUUUCUUAUGAUUAGUUUCUGUAAGUGGCAUUACUGGAUAGAGCUACAUGUAUAAAAAUUUUAAGGUUUUCUGUUCAAAUUUCCAUAAUUGGUGCAAAAAAAUGUUCUUACGGUUUACAUCUGUAUCAGAAUUUGAACAAGUUCAUUUUUUUUCUACUUGUCAACAGUGUGACACAGUUUUUUCAAUCUGGUAGUUAAAAAAAUGGUGUUUCUCUUCUUUAACUUUUAUUUCUUUGAUUGUUAAAAACAUAUUUCAUACAUAGAUUUAGCUAUUUAAUGUCUCACUGAUUUGUUUCAGCUGUUCGUUUUUCUGCUCGUGUGAUUAAUUUUUAAAAUGUAUUUGUAAAGCUGUUUAUCCCCUAGGAGUAACAUUUACCUUUUCUCUGUCACAUAUGUUGGAAAUAUUCCAGUGUGCAAUUUGCCUUUAACAUUUAUUCUGGUAUUUUUUUAAUCAUAAGAACAUUUUAAAUAAUUUCUAGUGAAAACUGUAUAUCAAUCUUUCCUAUAAGGUUUUUUACUUUUGGAGCGCUUCCUAUUCAUAAUUUAGUUAAAAAAAAUUGUUAUAUUGAAUUUCUUGCAAAAAAACCUUACCAAAUUCUACCCUUUUUUAUGCCUCAAUAUUUUAAUUUAUUUAGUUUCACCAACUGCAGAUGAAAGAUGUGUGUCCAGGAGUUAAAAUAACUAUUAUGGUUUUAGUAAGAAGAGAAAUUUUUAAACUGAUAAGAGUUUUCAUUUUUAUAAUCUUGUUAUGCUUGCAAGAGUAACUUUGGGGUUGCUGAAAGUCUUUUUGUUUUUUUAAGAUAGCAUUUUUAUCAUGAAGCAAACCGGUUGACUGACAGUCAAGGCUUCUUACAGGAUCAAGUAAAGUUUUAAAAAUGUGUGUUUAGUGUUAAAUUAGCUUGCUAUGAAAAAUGAAGUGCUUGCCAAUUUCUCUCAUGAUGCCCUCCUCCAAAAUAACCAUCUGAAUCCAGUAAUACAUAAAAAAGGUAAUAUGUCACAACAAACUGAGUCUGUUUCACGAAGGGGACGUUGGUUUAAUGUCUGAAAAUGAAUCGAUGUAAUUUACUACACUUACACAACAAAGGAGAAAAAUCAUACAGUAAAUAUAAACAUAAAAUCAUUUGAUAAAGUUCAACUCUCAUUUCUUAGCAGACUAGGAAAAGAAAAGAAUACUUUUAAUCUGAAAAACUAUGUACAAAAAUCCUUUGGAAAACACCAUACAUAAUAGUGAAAUUUCAAAAAAAUUUCCUCUGAGACUGGGAACAAUAGAAGGAUGCCCUCUCCUGCCACUUCUAUUCAGCAUGGUACUGGGAGUCAUAGCUCCUAGUAGACAAGAAAAACAAUGAAAAAGUAUAAGGGAUGGGAAGGAACAAAUACAAUCAACAUUAUUCACAGGUGAAUGUGAUUAGGUAAGUAGAAAGUCCGAAGAACCUAUACAUACACUAUUGAAACUAAAAGCUAAUUUAGCAGACAAAUAUACAUCAUUUUAUAUUUAUAUUCCAGCUACAAACAGGUAGAAAAUAAAAUUUAAAAUAACAUUUUUUUUUUACACAAGUCAGAUAUUUAUUUAUAUCACCAGGUGUAGAUUUAAGGCCCUGUAGGAAACCCUAUGUCUUUCAAUGAACCAGAGAAACUGCUCUAUGGACAUUGUGUUAAUUCAUAUCCAUUUAACUGGUCACAGGGAUUGGAUGGUCUCCCUCCUUCCAGUUCUCCCUUUCAUCCUUCCUCCCUUCCGCCCAUCCUUCUGUCCAUCCAUCCUUCCUUCUGUCCUUCCAUCCUUCUGCCCACGCUUCCUCCCUUCCUUCCUUCUCCUAGUCUCCACCCCCAACUCUCUUUCUCUUUUUUGUUUUUGUUUGUUUGUUUGUUUUUUAAUUUUUUUAUUUUUUAUUGAGUUAAUGAUAGGUUACAAUCUUGUGAAAUUUCAGUUGUGUAUUAAUGUUUGUCAUUCGUGUUGUAGGUGCACCACUUCACCCUUUGUGCCCACCCCCCACCCCACCUUUCCCCUGGUAUCCACUAAACUGUUCUUAGUCCAUAUUUUUAAAUUCCUCAUAUGAGUGGAGUCAUACACAGAUUAUCCUUCUCUAGCUGG